CGCACAGGUUCAUACACACAAGAUGAGGACAAGUUGAUUUGCCAAUGUUGGAUGGAGAUUAGCCAAGAUCCGAGGACGGGCGCGCAACAAAAGGGCCUAGUUUUUUGGAUGAGAGUCCACAAAACUUUCCAUGAAAGGAAGAUGUUUGAGCCCUACCAAAUCACAAGCAACCGUGGCAUCACCUCGAUUCAAAAGAGGUGGUUGUUCAUCCAACAAGAGUGCAACAAAUAUUGCGCCGCAUUUGAGAGCGUUGAAGCACGGCCCGUGAGUGGCCUUGGCGUUGGGGACAUGGUAUGCUCUCCUCAUCCUAGUCCUUUCCUUGAUAUGGCCAAGUGA
This 336-nucleotide ribosomal RNA is filed under the name Triticum aestivum (bread wheat). RNAcentral describes it as "partial small subunit ribosomal RNA". The record is from RNAcentral. Lineage: Eukaryota; Viridiplantae; Streptophyta; Magnoliopsida; Poales; Poaceae.